AUUGAAUAAUUGCAAAUCAAUAUAUACUAAAAUUGGAACGAUACAGAGAAGAUUAGCAUGGCCCCUGCAUAAGGAUGAGAUGCAAAUUCAUGAAGCAUUCCACAUUUUU
Carcharodon carcharias (great white shark) is the source of this 109-nucleotide small nuclear RNA. The record is from RefSeq and is a predicted model, not a curated record. NCBI's taxonomy places the organism in Eukaryota, Metazoa, Chordata, Chondrichthyes, Lamniformes, Lamnidae.